RNAcentral lists this ribosomal RNA (256 nucleotides) under uncultured Fastidiosipila sp. RNAcentral's name for it is "partial 16S ribosomal RNA". It matches the Rfam family "Bacterial small subunit ribosomal RNA", at positions 1128 to 1382 of the family's 1533-position model. Lineage: Bacteria; Bacillati; Bacillota; Clostridia; Eubacteriales; Oscillospiraceae. The record is from RNAcentral.
UAACGUAGGUCGACACAGGGACCGCCGGUCUUUAAAGCCGGAGGAAGUGGGGAUGACGUCAAGUCAGCAUGGCCUUUAUGUCCAGGGCUACACACACGCUACAAUGGUCAGCACAAUAGGUAGCCAAGCCGCGAGGUGGAGCCAAUCCUCAAAGCUGGCCUCAGUUCAGAUCGCAGGCUGCAACCCGCCUGCGUGAAGCCGGAGUCGCUAGUAACCGCAGGUCAGCUAUACUGCGGUGAAUACGUUCCCGGGGCUU